Molecule: long non-coding RNA, 1151 nt
Filed under: Olea europaea subsp. europaea
Lineage: Eukaryota; Viridiplantae; Streptophyta; Magnoliopsida; Lamiales; Oleaceae
Source: RNAcentral
ACGCAACUCAACACCCAACCACAAAAAACUCCAAACCAAGAAUAACCCCACCCGUCUUUUACCAGCAGCGCCAACAAAAUUUGUCGGAGCCAACAAAAAAUGUCGAUGCCAACACCCACCGGAGAUCAAUAAAUUUUUGGUGAAGCUAAGUGGUCAAAAACUUUGGAGAAGUGUAGUAGGGAUUUUGGCUUCAUCUAUGAUUGAUUUCUACAUCAACAGAUUGCCAUCUAACCUUUCUAAAGGGAGAAAUUCUUGUUUGGAUUAUGGUUUGAAGGAGGUAGGGAUGGCAAAUUGGCUCAUUGGCUUGAGUCGAGCCGUGGCUCGACCUGGAAAAAGGAGUAAGCCGACUCGGCUCAGUGAAAUCGAGCCUAUGCUCGAGCGAGCCCCAUCUUGGGGUGUCAGGGCGAGCCCGAGCUAGCCCGUGUGGCUCGUGGGCAGGGUCGAGGAAAAAAUUAUAGCAGCUGGCUGCUGCUUUCAUGAAAAAAAUAUAAAAAAUAAACCGAGCCAAAAGCUCGGGCUGAACCUCAUUUUUUUGAUCAAGCUUUUGCUUGGCUCGACUCCGACCAAAAAAUGCUUGACUCAAAAAAGCUCGAAUAGAGCCCGAGUCUCGAGUUUCAGCUCGACUCGACUCGUUGACACUCUUUGGAAGGGGGCUAAAAUCACUAUGGCUUCUUAUUGUUUAGAACUCCAACUCUUGGAAAUCUAGUCACCAACCUAUCCAUUGAUGCAAUAACUCAGGCAAGUCCUUCUUGAGCAUGGGGCAGAGGUUGAUGACAGAUGGUUGACGGAGAUUGGUAGAUAGAUGGGUUUCAGAGUGGCAGUGGGUGACGGAGGCAAUGAUCGAUGACAGCGGUCUACGGAGAUCGGUAGACAGAUGGGUUUUAGAGUGGCAGUGGGUGACGAUGGCCAGUGGCGAUGGGUUGGGGGAUGUUGAAGAUCUACAUUUAUUUAUUUAUUUAUUUAUUUGCUUUUUCUAAUUUCAUUUUUAUCUUAUUUGAAUGUAGUAAAUGGAAAGUUACUAUUUUACCCUUUUAAAAUGGUCAAAAUCAAAUUUCUUAGUUAACUAACAGACAUUUGAAUGAAAAAUGUUCAAAAGGGCCUUUGCCACAACAUUUUAAAAGGUUUGGAAUGGCAGUUACAAUAAAUUAAAG